Molecule: ribosomal RNA, 675 nt
Filed under: Salmonella enterica
Lineage: Bacteria; Pseudomonadati; Pseudomonadota; Gammaproteobacteria; Enterobacterales; Enterobacteriaceae
Description: partial 23S ribosomal RNA
Rfam family: Bacterial large subunit ribosomal RNA
Source: RNAcentral
GUAGUUUGACUGGGGCGGUCUCCUCCUAAAGAGUAACGGAGGAGCACGAAGGUUGGCUAAUCCUGGUCGGACAUCAGGAGGUUAGUGCAAUGGCAUAAGCCAGCUUGACUGCGAGCGUGACGGCGCGAGCAGGUGCGAAAGCAGGUCAUAGUGAUCCGGUGGUUCUGAAUGGAAGGGCCAUCGCUCAACGGAUAAAAGGUACUCCGGGGAUAACAGGCUGAUACCGCCCAAGAGUUCAUAUCGACGGCGGUGUUUGGCACCUCGAUGUCGGCUCAUCACAUCCUGGGGCUGAAGUAGGUCCCAAGGGUAUGGCUGUUCGCCAUUUAAAGUGGUACGCGAGCUGGGUUUAGAACGUCGUGAGACAGUUCGGUCCCUAUCUGCCGUGGGCGCUGGAGAACUGAGGGGGGCUGCUCCUAGUACGAGAGGACCGGAGUGGACGCAUCACUGGUGUUCGGGUUGUCAUGCCAAUGGCACUGCCCGGUAGCUAAAUGCGGAAGAGAUAAGUGCUGAAAGCAUCUAAGCACGAAACUUGCCCCGAGAUGAGUUCUCCCUGAGACUUUAGGUCUCCUGAAGGAACGUUGAAGACGACGACGUUGAUAGGCCGGGUGUGUAAGCGCAGCGAUGCGUUGAGCUAACCGGUACUAAUGAACCGUGAGGCUUAACCUUACAACGCCG